RNAcentral lists this long non-coding RNA (2425 nucleotides) under Mus musculus (house mouse). RNAcentral's name for it is "long non-coding RNA chr10:49799138-49801563". The record is from RNAcentral. Lineage: Eukaryota; Metazoa; Chordata; Mammalia; Rodentia; Muridae.
GCUCCGAGGUACUGGUUAGUUCAUAAUGUUAUUCCACCUAUAGGGUUGCAGAUCCCUUUAGCUCCUUGGCUACUUUCUCUAGCUCCUCCAUUGGGAGCCCUAUGAUCCAUCCAUUAGCUGACUGUGAGCAUCCACUUCUGUGUAUAACAGUUUUCUUAAGGUACUAGCUCCCUAACAGUUUAAAUUUCUGACUUCUGGACACUAGAACUGCAAUAAAAUAAAUAUAUUCUGUUUUCAAACACCCCACCCACAUAGUAAUACUCUGUUUUGGCAGCCUUAGGAAAAAUAUAUAGAUAUUAACAAAAGUUAACACUAAUAACUGUGCACUCAAACUGUUUUGACUUGGUUCAUUUUUGACAUUUAGGCAUGUAAUUCACCUUUCUUUUCUUCCCCCACAAAACCUCACCUCCAUGUAUAAUAUGCCUCCUUUAUACUUGAGACUAAAGGGGCCAUCUAAUGGAAUUCUUUAAUCUGCCAUAAGUAAGCACAUUCCCUAGUAACACCUUUGCAUAUCACGAUGCAUACUUAAGCUUCCAAAGGCUUUCUCUUAAAGUCAUCCUGCAGGGCUGGCUAAGAUGAUGAGUAAGUGAUUGCUAUGCAAGCUUGUGACCUUAGAUUAAGUUCUCAUAACCCACAUAAAAAUCUGGGUGGGAGUCAGGCCUUCUAUAACACUAGUGCUAUGAGGAAUGGGCAUAGGUAGUUCACUAAUGUUUUCUGACUACCAGCUUACACCCCAGGUCACUGAGAGAUCAUGUCUCUUAAGAAUAAGUUCUUAAAUAGUAGAGCAGUGUGCAGAAUAUUUUGUUCUAGUUUUCCUAUAAACACCCACAUGCACAUGUAUAAGCAUGUAUACACACACAGACACACACACAUUCACAAACACACACACAUACACACAAUCAUCAUUUUAAUGGUGACCUUGAUUCAUAUUACCCUAUAUCUCAAGCAAGUCAUUUGGUCCACCUCAUUUUUUUUUAAAGGGAGAAGAGGGGGAAUAAUUCAUCAUUAUAUGGUAACUCCAUUUAAACUCCAUUUAUAUAUUAGGAAGCUUCUACAGCAGUAAGCUUCCAUAUGGAUUUUCAGAAGUUCUUUUGUGCCCGGUACCAUUUACUCUUCCUGUUCUAAUAUCCUCCAUUAUGCCUUUAGAUUACUAUGUUCUAUUAUUCCAAACAGACAUGCUCUCAAAUAAAGCUCCAAGUAUCAAGAAUGUGUUACAUCUCUUUGAGUUAUGGGCUCCCUCAAAACAUUAAAAGCUAUUACAAAUCUCUGAGUUCCCCUCCACAACUUGAUUGUAAGAUAUUACACUACAUACUAACAUUAUAGAACAUCAAGAAAUUAAGCUGGCACUGAACUGGAAGCUUUACAUCACUGACUAGUGUUUAUGGUGCUGAAAGAUACAAUACACACUCCUGGAGAGAAAAAGUAAUCAUCAGUCUCACUAAGCUGUGAACCAUAAGAGCUAUUUAUCAACGUGCUUGCAAGACAUAGCAACUGAUGCAAUUGUGGUACAAAUGUUAGGGGAGUAACCAACUGUUUUUUUUUUUUUUUGGUUAGAUUUAAGGUACCUUUUAUGAUAUGGAACACAGGUAUGACACUGUUAAUGGGGACAAGAAUAUGAGACUAGACAGAUCAUGGGCCUUAGAAGAAAACCAACUUCUAUUAUUAUAUAUUAAAUUAAAAUGGCAAUAAGACAUCUCCUAGUUGUACAUAUUGCUGUACCCAUAAAUCAUUGCAUUGCUCAACCCUCAUCAGGAAAACUUCUUCUUAGAGUACAUGGUAAAGCAUAGAGAUCCAUACUGGAUUAUGUGAAGAGAGUGAAUGACUUCAGAGCACUUAGCCAUAAAUGGUUUGUAUUUAACGCACUUUACCCCUCAACACUCGGGGACAUUGGCUGAAGAGGAAGCAGAAAGACUGUGAGAGCUGGAGGGGAUGGAUGAAUCCAAGGAAACAGUGUGUAUGUUCAGAAUUCAUUCAGUGUGUUCCAGAAACAACAGGGAUGAUGCACAUAUGAACUCACAGUAGAUUAUGACAGCAUGUUUAAUACCUGCAGAAGUUCAAGCCAAGCCCCAGCAUGGAGAAGAGGGAGUGAAAACAGCCCUAGCCAAGAAGCUGUUUGCAGCUGAUGGCUCUUGGAAGAGUGAAAAUAAAUUUUCUUCAAUGGAGUGGCACUGGGUAUAUCAAGCUCAAACACACUCUAUCAGUCUUCAUGUAGAAGAAAUAAUUAGCUAAUAUAAAUUAGACUCCAUAAUUUUAGUGUGUAUUUGUGUGUGUGUGUGUGUGUGUGUGUGUGUGUGUGUGUGUGUGUAUGCAUGUGCACAAGUACACAGGCACAUUUUUUGGUUUGGUUUUGCUUAACAGAGUAAAAGAACAGGAAUUUGGGUGGAUAAGAAGGGAGGACUAUUUUAAAGAGGUUAGGGAAGAAGAA